UUUAUUUUAAAGGUGUUAUUCAAGUCAUUGAAAUUUAAUAAUUCAAAUCCUCCUUGUAUCCUAGGUGCUGAGAGAAUUUCAUUCUUCAAAAGAGGUUUCUUAUUUUUCCAGAAAAAAUAGAACAAAACAGUCUAUAGGUGAAGAGACAACAACAAACCCAUGGAUGUCACGCUAGACAUCUUUUAAAGAGUCAGCAGUGAUUCUCUUUUCCUCGAUCAUCACAUCUGGACCACGCCAUGCUGUCUUCUUUCCAUCUUUGCGGGCUUUUUCAACAAGUGGCCAAAGUUUAUUGCAUCGCUGUCUUUCACCAUAGGUGCGCAUGGUGAAUUGGAUUAUCACAGGACGGGGGCUUUUGUCAUCUCUGGGACGUCCAACUCUGUGAAUCGUGUC
Molecule: long non-coding RNA, 390 nt
Organism: Fundulus heteroclitus (mummichog)
Lineage: Eukaryota; Metazoa; Chordata; Actinopteri; Cyprinodontiformes; Fundulidae
Exons: 3
Source: RefSeq, a predicted model, not a curated record